UACAGGGGGUGCUAGCGUUGUUCGGAAUUACUGGGCGUAAAGGGCGCGUAGGCGGCUCAUUGCGUCAACCGUGAAAACCAGCAGCUCAACUGUUGGCUUGCGGUUGAUACGGGUGGGCUGGAGUUCGGUAGGGGAGACUGGAAUUCCUGGUGUAGCGGUGAAAUGCGCAGAUAUCAGGAGGAACACCGGUGGCGAAGGCGGGUCUCUGGGCCGAUACUGACGCUGAGGAGCGAAAGCGUGGGGAGCGAACAGG
This 253-nucleotide ribosomal RNA is filed under the name uncultured bacterium. Its description in RNAcentral is "partial 16S ribosomal RNA". It matches the Rfam family "Bacterial small subunit ribosomal RNA", at positions 524 to 776 of the family's 1533-position model. The record is from RNAcentral.